Molecule: ribosomal RNA, 749 nt
Filed under: Microbacteriaceae bacterium
Lineage: Bacteria; Bacillati; Actinomycetota; Actinomycetes; Micrococcales; Microbacteriaceae
Description: bacterial SSU rRNA
Rfam family: Bacterial small subunit ribosomal RNA
Source: RNAcentral
AGGCGGAGCUUGCUCUGCUGGAUCAGUGGCGAACGGGUGAGUAACACGUGAGUAACCUGCCCUUGACUCUGGGAUAAGCGUUGGAAACGACGUCUAAUACCGGAUACGAGCUGAGACCGCAUGGUCAUCAGUUGGAAAGAAUUUCGGUCAAGGAUGGACUCGCGGCCUAUCAGCUUGUUGGUGAGGUAAUGGCUCACCAAGGCGACGACGGGUAGCCGGCCUGAGAGGGUGACCGGCCACACUGGGACUGAGACACGGCCCAGACUCCUACGGGAGGCAGCAGUGGGGAAUAUUGCACAAUGGGCGCAAGCCUGAUGCAGCAACGCCGCGUGAGGGAUGACGGCCUUCGGGUUGUAAACCUCUUUUAGUAGGGAAGAAGCGAAAGUGACGGUACCUGCAGAAAAAGCACCGGCUAACUACGUGCCAGCAGCCGCGGUAAUACGUAGGGUGCAAGCGUUGUCCGGAAUUAUUGGGCGUAAAGAGCUCGUAGGCGGUUUGUCGCGUCUGCUGUGAAAACUGGAGGCUCAACCUCCAGCCUGCAGUGGGUACGGGCAGACUAGAGUGCGGUAGGGGAGAUUGGAAUUCCUGGUGUAGCGGUGGAAUGCGCAGAUAUCAGGAGGAACACCGAUGGCGAAGGCAGAUCUCUGGGCCGUAACUGACGCUGAGGAGCGAAAGCGUGGGGAGCGAACAGGAUUAGAUACCCUGGUAGUCCACGCCGUAAACGUUGGGAACUAGAUGUGGGGACCAUU